UUGCUUCAGCAGCAUACAUACUAAAAACUGGAAUUAUAAAGAGAUUACCAUGCCUCUUGCCCAAAAAUGACAUGCAAAUUCAUGAAGCGUUUCAUAUUUUC
Small nuclear RNA from Dipodomys ordii (Ord's kangaroo rat), 101 nucleotides. NCBI's taxonomy places the organism in Eukaryota, Metazoa, Chordata, Mammalia, Rodentia, Heteromyidae. The record is from Ensembl.